This 250-nucleotide unclassified non-coding RNA is filed under the name Hevea brasiliensis (rubber tree). Lineage: Eukaryota; Viridiplantae; Streptophyta; Magnoliopsida; Malpighiales; Euphorbiaceae. The record is from RNAcentral.
UGUUUGUGCUUUUUAACUUUUUUUUUUUUCAUUUUCUGGGGGCGGAAUUUAAAAGGAUUGGUUUCAUUUUGGUAUUAAAUUUGCAUGCAAUCUGCUGGAGGUGGUGGUGGUGGACCCAGCCGGGUGGGGCCGGCUGGGCGGGCGGCCUCCACGUCAUCAGCAGCAUCGCCAUCUUCGUCUUCCUCUGCAGUAUCGACGCCACAGUUAGGUUUCGACUCGGUACAGCAGCAGCAGCAGCAGCAGCAGCAAC